AUUGAACGCUGGCGGCAUGCCUUACACAUGCAAGUCGAACGGUAACAGGUCUUCGGAUGCUGACGAGUGGCGAACGGGUGAGUAAUACAUCGGGACGUGCCUAGUAGUGGGGGAUAACUACUCGAAAGAGUGGCUAAUACCGCAUGAGAUCUACGGAUGAAAGCAGGGGAUCGCAAGACCUUGUGCUACUAGAGCGGCCGAUGGCAGAUUAGGUAGUUGGUGGGAUAAAAGCUUACCAAGCCGACGAUCUGUAGCUGGUCUGAGAGGACGAUCAGCCACACUGGGACUGAGACACGGCCCAGCCUCCUACGGGAGGCAGCAGUGGGGAAUUUUGGACAAUGGGCGCAAGCCUGAUCCAGCAAUGCCGCGUGCAGGAUGAAGGCCUUCGGGUUGUAAACUGCUUUUGUACGGAACGAAAAGCCCUGGGUUAAUACCCUGGGGUCAUGACGGUACCGUAGGGAUAAGCACCGGCUAACUACGUGCCAGCAGCCGCCGUAA
RNAcentral lists this ribosomal RNA (498 nucleotides) under uncultured bacterium. Its description in RNAcentral is "partial 16S ribosomal RNA". It matches the Rfam family "Bacterial small subunit ribosomal RNA", at positions 30 to 523 of the family's 1533-position model. The record is from RNAcentral.